This 510-nucleotide ribosomal RNA is filed under the name uncultured bacterium. Its description in RNAcentral is "bacterial SSU rRNA". It matches the Rfam family "Bacterial small subunit ribosomal RNA", at positions 850 to 1360 of the family's 1533-position model. The record is from RNAcentral.
AGCUAACGCAUUAAGCACUCCGCCUGGGGAGUACGGUCGCAAGACUGAAACUCAAAGGAAUUGACGGGGGCCCGCACAAGCGGUGGAGCAUGUGGUUUAAUUCGAAGCAACGCGAAGAACCUUACCAGGUCUUGACAUCCCGCCGACCGCCUAGGAGACUAGGCCUUCCCUUCGGGGACGCGGUGACAGGUGGUGCAUGGUUGUCGUCAGCUCGUGUCGUGAGAUGUUGGGUUAAGUCCCGCAACGAGCGCAACCCUUGAUCUUAGUUGCCAGCAUUCAGUUGGGCACUCUAAGGUGACUGCCGGUGACAAACCGGAGGAAGGUGGGGAUGACGUCAAAUCAUCAUGCCCCUUAUGACCUGGGCUACACACGUGGUACACAAGGGAUGGUCACAAGGGUCUGAAACCGCGAGGGGGGCCAAUUCCAUUAAACCAUUUUCAGUUUCGGGAUUGUAGGCUGCACUCGCCUACAUGAAGCUGGAUCGCUAGUAAUCGUGGAUCAGCAUGCCAA